This 330-nucleotide ribosomal RNA is filed under the name uncultured bacterium. Its description in RNAcentral is "bacterial SSU rRNA". It matches the Rfam family "Bacterial small subunit ribosomal RNA", at positions 568 to 898 of the family's 1533-position model. The record is from RNAcentral.
UGUGUAGGCGGUUCUCUAAGUUUGGUGUGAAAUCUCCCGGCUCAACCGGGAGGGUGCGCCGAAAACUGGGGGACUAGAGUGCGGGAUGGGAGAGUAGAAUUCCUGGUGUAGCGGUGAAAUGCGUAGAUAUCAGGAGGAAUACCGGUGGUGUAGACGGCUCUCUGGACCGCAACUGACGCUGAGACACGAAAGCGUGGGUAGCAAACAGGAUUAGAUACCCUGGUAGUCCACGCCCUAAACGAUGCAUAUUUGGUGUAGGUCAUUCAGUUGAUCUGUGCCGGAGCUAACGCGUUAAAUAUGCCGCCUGGGGAGUACAGUCGCAAGGCUGAA